CACUAGGCGGGAAGGCC
RNAcentral lists this transfer RNA (17 nucleotides) under Chaenogobius annularis (forktongue goby). RNAcentral describes it as "partial tRNA-Asn". Lineage: Eukaryota; Metazoa; Chordata; Actinopteri; Gobiiformes; Gobiidae. The record is from RNAcentral.